This is a non-coding RNA of Irpex rosettiformis, 87 nucleotides long. Lineage: Eukaryota; Fungi; Basidiomycota; Agaricomycetes; Polyporales; Irpicaceae. The record is from the annotation of a GenBank genome assembly.
GCCCGUUUAGCUCAGUGGUAGAGCGCGCCACUUGUACGAUUCUAGUUGGCAAUGGUGAGGUCGGUUGUUCAAUCCAGCCAAUGGGCA